GACAGAAGGGAGCUUGCUCCCGGAUGUUAGCGGCGGACGGGUGAGUAACACGUGGGUAACCUGCCUGUAAGACUGGGAUAACUCCGGGAAACCGGAGCUAAUACCGGAUAGUUCCUUGAACCGCAUGGUUCAAGGAUGAAAGACGGUUUCGGCUGUCACUUACAGAUGGACCCGCGGCGCAUUAGCUAGUUGGUGAGGUAACGGCUCACCAAGGCGACGAUGCGUAGCCGACCUGAGAGGGUGAUCGGCCACACUGGGACUGAGACACGGCCCAGACUCCUACGGGAGGCAGCAGUAGGGAAUCUUCCGCAAUGGACGAAAGUCUGACGGAGCAACGCCGCGUGAGUGAUGAAGGUUUUCGGAUCGUAAAGCUCUGUUGUUAGGGAAGAACAAGUGCAAGAGUAACUGCUUGCACCUUGACGGUACCUAACCAGAAAGCCACGGCUAACUACGUGCCAGCAGCCGCGGUAAUACGUAGGUGGCAAGCGUUGUCCGGAAUUAUUGGGCGUAAAGGGCUCGCAGGCGGUUUCUUAAGUCUGAUGUGAAAGCCCCCGGCUCAACCGGGGAGGGUCAUUGGAAACUGGGAAACUUGAGUGCAGAAGAGGAGAGUGGAAUUCCACGUGUAGCGGUGAAAUGCGUAGAGAUGUGGAGGAACACCAGUGGCGAAGGCGACUCUCUGGUCUGUAACUGACGCUGAGGAGCGAAAGCGUGGGGAGCGAACAGGAUUAGAUACCCUGGUAGUCCACGCCGUAAACGAUGAGUGCUAAGUGUUAGGGGGUUUCCGCCCCUUAGUGCUGCAGCUAACGCAUUAAGCACUCCGCCUGGGGAGUACGGUCGCAAGACUGAAACUCAAAGGAAUUGACGGGGGCCCGCACAAGCGGUGGAGCAUGUGGUUUAAUUCGAAGCAACGCGAAGAACCUUACCAGGUCUUGACAUCCUCUGACAACCCUAGAGAUAGGGCUUUCCCUUCGGGGACAGAGUGACAGGUGGUGCAUGGUUGUCGUCAGCUCGUGUCGUGAGAUGUUGGGUUAAGUCCCGCAACGAGCGCAACCCUUGAUCUUAGUUGCCAGCAUUCAGUUGGGCACUCUAAGGUGACUGCCGGUGACAAACCGGAGGAAGGUGGGGAUGACGUCAAAUCAUCAUGCCCCUUAUGACCUGGGCUACACACGUGCUACAAUGGACAGAACAAAGGGCUGCGAGACCGCAAGGUUUAGCCAAUCCCACAAAUCUGUUCUCAGUUCGGAUCGCAGUCUGCAACUCGACUGCGUGAAGCUGGAAUCGCUAGUAAUCGCGGAUCAGCAUGCCGCGGUGAAUACGUU
RNAcentral lists this ribosomal RNA (1319 nucleotides) under Bacillus sp. (in: firmicutes). RNAcentral describes it as "bacterial SSU rRNA". It matches the Rfam family "Bacterial small subunit ribosomal RNA", at positions 68 to 1372 of the family's 1533-position model. Lineage: Bacteria; Bacillati; Bacillota; Bacilli; Caryophanales; Bacillaceae. The record is from RNAcentral.